Molecule: ribosomal RNA, 253 nt
Filed under: uncultured bacterium
Lineage: Bacteria
Description: partial 16S ribosomal RNA
Rfam family: Bacterial small subunit ribosomal RNA
Source: RNAcentral
UACGGAGGAUCCGAGCGUUAUCCGGAUUUAUUGGGUUUAAAGGGUGCGUAGGCGGCUUAUUAAGUCAGGGGUGAAAGACGGCAGCUCAACUGUCGCGGUGCUCUUGAUACUGACGGGCUUGAAUGCCGUUGAAGAUGGCGGAAUGAGACAAGUAGCGGUGAAAUGCAUAGAUAUGUCUCAGAACCCCGAUUGCGAAGGCAGCUGUCUAAGCGGUAAUUGACGCUGAUGCACGAAAGCGUGGGGAUCGAACAGG